This is a long non-coding RNA of Myotis myotis, 534 nucleotides long. RefSeq lists it as uncharacterized. NCBI's taxonomy places the organism in Eukaryota, Metazoa, Chordata, Mammalia, Chiroptera, Vespertilionidae. The record is from RefSeq and is a predicted model, not a curated record. The transcript is spliced from 3 exons.
UGUCCACAUUUGGAAAACUCCUAAUGUUCUUUUUCUGAUCCAGAUCCAAUGCAGUUAUCCUUCUGCCUUAGUUUCUUUAAUCAGGAACAAUUCCUCAGUUUUUCUGUGUCUUUUAUGAUUAGACACUUUUGAAGAGUACUGGUCAUUUAUUUUGUAGAAUGUCCUUCAAUGUAGAAUUGACUGAUAUUUCCUCAUAAUUAAUGUUGUGUUGGCAGGAAUAUUUAUAAAAGCUGUUGUGUCUUUCCUCAUAUAUCAAGAUUUCAAUUUACUGGUGAUAUUAUUAACUUUGAUCACUGGGUUGAGAUGUUGACCCAGUUCGUGCACUUUAAAGUGACUUUUAAAAAAAUCAGGAGCCUAUUCUUAUAUAUAAAGAUUUCUGUUACCAAGAAUUAACCAAUCAGAGACAACCUUAUUAUGCGACGUGACCAAUUGAGUGUUCAGGAUAACAUGGGAAAGGUGAUGCAAAGGAGUAAAAAAGAUGUCUUACACAGAAGGAAUGGCUUCAUUAUGCCACUGAAGUAGGAAUGAGCCUAG